GGGGUUGUGGCUCAGUGGCAGAGUGCUUGCCUCGCAUGCAUGAGGCAGUGGGUUCGAUCCUCAGCACCA
This 69-nucleotide transfer RNA is filed under the name Ictidomys tridecemlineatus (thirteen-lined ground squirrel). Its description in RNAcentral is "Spermophilus tridecemlineatus (thirteen-lined ground squirrel) tRNA". It matches the Rfam family "tRNA". From Rfam's summary of the family: Transfer RNA (tRNA) molecules are approximately 80 nucleotides in length. Their secondary structure includes four short double-helical elements and three loops (D, anti-codon, and T loops). Further hydrogen bonds mediate the characteristic L-shaped molecular structure. tRNAs have two regions of fundamental functional importance: the anti-codon, which is responsible for specific mRNA codon recognition, and the 3' end, to which the tRNAs corresponding amino acid is attached (by aminoacyl-tRNA synthetases). tRNAs cope with the degeneracy of the genetic code in two manners: having more than one tRNA (with a specific anti-codon) for a particular amino acid; and 'wobble' base-pairing, i.e. permitting non-standard base-pairing at the 3rd anti-codon position. The record is from Rfam by way of RNAcentral. Lineage: Eukaryota; Metazoa; Chordata; Mammalia; Rodentia; Sciuridae.